This 69-nucleotide antisense RNA is filed under the name Streptomyces sp. PRh5. RNAcentral describes it as "ASpks sRNA". It matches the Rfam family "ASpks TB sRNA". The record is from RNAcentral. Lineage: Bacteria; Bacillati; Actinomycetota; Actinomycetes; Kitasatosporales; Streptomycetaceae.
CUUCAGCGAGCCGAGCAGCAGGGGGUACUCACGGUGCUGUCCGUAGGUGGCCAGCACGGCCUGGGCCUC